This 1583-nucleotide ribosomal RNA is filed under the name human gut metagenome. Its description in RNAcentral is "bacterial LSU rRNA". It matches the Rfam family "Bacterial large subunit ribosomal RNA", at positions 1320 to 2925 of the family's 2925-position model. The record is from RNAcentral.
GGUGGGAAUCCUUCCGGCCGAAUAUCUAAGGUUUCCAGAGUAAAGCUGAUCUGCUCUGGGUAAGUCGGGGCCUAAGGAGAGGUCGCAAGACGUAUCCGAUGGACAACAGGUUUAGAUUCCUGUACCGCAUAUAAACAGAACUGUGGGGACGCAUGUGGAAAGCAUAAGCCGGGAAUGGAAAGACCGGUACAAGCGGGGUAGGUGUGUGACAGGCAAAUCCGUCAUAUAAGCCGAAGACGUGAUGUGGAGCGAAAUUAAGUAGUGAAGUAUGUGAGCCAUGUGCCGAGAAAAGCCGCUAUUGUUUUAUAUGUGCCCGUACCGUAAACCGACACAGGUGGAUGAGGAGAGAAUCCUAAGGCCGACGGAAGAAGCAUUGUUAAGGAAUUCGGCAAAAUGACCCCGUAACUUCGGGAGAAGGGGUGCCCACUGAAUGGUGGGCCGCAGAGAAUAGGCUCAAGCAACUGUUUAGCAAAAACACAGGUCUAUGCGAAACCGAAAGGUGAAGUAUAUGGGCUGACGCCUGCCCGGUGCUGGAAGGUUAAGAGGAGAGGUUAGCGCAAGCGAAGCUUUGAAUUUAAGCCCCAGUAAACGGCGGCCGUAACUAUAACGGUCCUAAGGUAGCGAAAUUCCUUGUCGGGUAAGUUCCGACCCGCACGAAAGGCGUAAUGAUUUGAGCACUGUCUCGACAAUGCAUCCGGUGAAAUUGAAGUACCAGUGAAGAUGCUGGUUACCCGCGCCAGGACGGAAAGACCCCAUGGAGCUUUACUCCAGUUUGAUACUGGGAUUCGGUACUGCACGUACAGGAUAGGUGGGAGACUUUGAACUAUGGACGCCAGUCUGUAGGGAGUCGCUGUUGGGAUACCACCCCUGUAGUACUGGGUUUCUAACCAGCUGCCGUGACCCGGCAGUGGGACAAUGUCAGGCGGGGAGUUUGACUGGGGCGGUCGCCUCCGAAAGGGUAUCGGAGGCGCUCAAAGGUUCCCUCAGAAUGGUCGGAAACCAUUUGAAGAGUGCAAAGGCAGAAGGGAGCUUGACUGCGACACCGACGGGUGGAGCAGGUACGAAAGUAGGACUUAGUGAUCCGGUGGUAUAAAGUGGGAUUGCCAUCGCUCAACGGAUAAAAGCUACCCUGGGGAUAACAGGCUUAUCACUCCCAAGAGUUCACAUCGACGGAGUGGUUUGGCACCUCGAUGUCGGCUCAUCGCAUCCUGGGGCUGUAGCAGGUCCCAAGGGUUGGGCUGUUCGCCCAUUAAAGCGGUACGCGAGCUGGGUUCAGAACGUCGUGAGACAGUUCGGUCCCUAUCCGGCGCGGGCGGAGGAUAUUUGAGAGGAGCUGUCCUUAGUACGAGAGGACCGGGAUGGACGGACCACUGGUGUAUCUGUUGUCGACCAACGGCAUGGCAGAGUAGCCAAGUCUGGAAGGGAUAAACGCUGAAGGCAUCUAAGCGUGAAGCCCCCCUCAAGAUGAGAUAUCCCUCCUUCGGGAGUAAGACCCCUUGAAGACUACAAGGUAGAUAGGGCAGAGGUGGAAGUGUGGCAACACAUGGAGCUGACUGUUACUAAUAGGUCGAGGGCUUGAUUAA